Molecule: ribosomal RNA, 253 nt
Filed under: uncultured bacterium
Lineage: Bacteria
Description: partial 16S ribosomal RNA
Rfam family: Bacterial small subunit ribosomal RNA
Source: RNAcentral
UACGUAGGGCGCAAGCGUUGUCCGGAAUUAUUGGGCGUAAAGCGCGCGCAGGCGGUCCUUUAAGUCUGAUGUGAAAGCCCACGGCUCAACCGUGGAGGGUCAUUGGAAACUGGGGGACUUGAGUACAGAAGAGAAGAGUGGAAUUCCACGUGUAGCGGUGGAAUGCGUAGAGAUGUGGAGGAACACCAGUGGCGAAGGCGACUCUUUGGUCUGUAACUGACGCUGAGGCGCGAAAGCGUGGGGAGCAAACAGG